Molecule: long non-coding RNA, 2733 nt
Filed under: Callithrix jacchus (white-tufted-ear marmoset)
Lineage: Eukaryota; Metazoa; Chordata; Mammalia; Primates; Cebidae
Description: lncRNA (ENSCJAG00000070169.1)
Source: RNAcentral
AUGGAACAAGUAGAAUGUCGCAUGAGUGGAAGUGUAGCCGGCUUAUUAUCCAGGGACACAGAGAAGGAGCUGAGACCUCCUGGAGGUCUCAGGAAAGCCCAGUGCCCUCCGGGACUCCUCAGUAGGCUGGAGAACACCCACAGGAUAAUGCAAAUAGAAGCGUCCGUGCUCAGCACUCCUCAGUCCACCUGGUUAGCUACAGAGCAACAAUGUCAUCUGCAGGGUUUCUACACAGGACUCCAGCUCCUAAUGAAGAGGGGAAAAAUGUUUCCCACGGCAGUGGAGCUGUGCAUGGUCCCAGAUCAAGGGCUCUUUUCAGGUUGCCUGAAGUUCUUCAAGAGCAAGAAACAGUUUGGAAUUAAGGGUACCAAAUCUUGUGAGACAUUUUGUUUUGUGUUUUUUUAAAUGGAAAACAAAGGUGAGCAGACAAAUGCAUAACAUUUCAUCAGAAAAGGAAACCAAACCCUUGGUCAAAAAAGUGAAUCAGCAACAGUUAACUGAGAGGAGGUGUCUUAAAGAUAAUCCCAUUAUCCUCAAAGUAUCUCUGAGUUUGAGGCACCAGAUUUAUGGACUGCCAUCUCCUAUAUGAAAAGAUAAAGGGAGAAUAAAUCUAUGUUUACAUUCACAACUGGGCCAGAGGAUCCAGUUUUCAUUUGAUUUGAACAAGUAGAAAACGUUCAUCAGGAUUUAACCAAAAUAGUGCAUAUUGAUUUAAGUUAGUCAAUUAAAAAAUUGGCAAAAUGACAGAAUUGCUCCAUAAGUAGCCGUGCCACACACCUGAAUACACACAUCAUGUUCAACAAGCAAUUAUUUCACUUUACUCUCUGUGCCAGUGCAUGUUUGCUUUCAGAACGCUGCAGGUAUGAUAAGAAGCUUAAUGUUCUGCUUUCUAUGUAGCAUUUUUACUGAUGCCCAUGAAAUUCUGAACCAUAUGGUUUUAUAUUCUAUACUCUCUAUGUUUUAUUAUCCAAAAGUAUAUUUUUCUACUGUGUUCUAGCACACAGUCUACUGUAUAUGUAUGAAUGAAAUAAUGUCUUUUUCCACAGUGAUGCAAAGAACUUUUACUUUUUUUCACAAAAAGAGCAUGUCUGUGUUGCGAAAUCAAGCUUUUUGUGCAUAUCAAACUGUUUAUAGUUUGUACACAGCAAACUGUAAGUAGAUACAAUCCUUUUAAACUUGUGAGUUACUUAAAAAAAAAGAUCUUCUUAAUUAGAAAGAUCAAUCUAUUUUCACCUGUCAUUUGAAGUAAUAACCCGGUUGCAUGACUUUGGGACAGCACAUAUACUUGAGUAGGAGAACGUUAACUCCAAUAUUCAUGGAAACCUACAAAGGCAAAACUGUCCCUUUCUCAGUGCUAAGUGUGGGGCUCUGCUUUGUAAAAACAGCUGGAGAGAAUCACAGGAGGCUGUGUUUGUCCCUCCACAGCCAUAGCAUGCAUGGAACAUCUUGACUACAAGUGCUAGAGGAAUGUUUUAGAGUCAGACUCCAAAUUCUAGAUCUUCAACCACGUGAUUACAGUGGGGGCAGCCACAUUUAUAAAGUGAGACCCUCCUCCCCUCUGCGACCACACUGAUUGGGCCAGGCAAAAGCACCUGACCAAAGUUGAGCCAAUGAGCCUCUUGCAUUUGAAACUACCAAAAAUGGAGACUGAAAGAGCUUAGUUUUGAGUUGGAUGUAUUUGACUGUAGGGUAUGUAAUUUCGGAAGAAGAUGCCAGGAUCUUUUUCUCUUCAUCAGGUGGGAAAUUGAAGGCUCAUCUGCAAUGAUGAAGAAUGAGAAGCCCCCUGGAGGGAAGCAAGGCUGAGAGACAGAAGAGAGACUGUCCUAGGGUCCAAUUAGAGGGUAGGACUGUGGUUCAUUGAAGUGGGAGGACCAAGGGGUCCCCUGGUCCUCUGCUUCCAAGAGUCCCCAUAUACUGGUAACCAAAUCUCUCCUUCCCUUUAUUUCCAAAAUUCCCCCGAUGGGUUUUCUGCUAUUUGUAAUCAAAAUAUUCCUGACCACAAGUCACAAUACUAAAUAUUUUCGAAAUCCAAAGCAAUACAAGGAGAGUGUGAAUUUAAUUAUUAUCUUCAUUUUAAUUCAUGGAGAGUUAGAAAUGUUCAUUUGAGACAUAUCGGGAGUGGGCAGUGGCAAGCUUUAAGCUUACAUCCGCCUCUUUUGAAAACUUUCACCACGUUGAGGUGUGUAUGCUCUUGAAAAAGAGUGGCAAACCUAGGAAAACGGAUUCUCGGUUGAUAUAAAACUAAGUUCCAGAAAAACAAUCUAAAUAGGUACUUCAAAUUAAUAGAGGAAAAAACAUACAAACGAAAUCAGAUAUAAUUGCCAGAAAAUCCUGUCGCAGAUGAAGGUGUUUCUUGCUCUCCUGCUCCCCGAGCUCCUGAUGCUUUUGGUUGUCACCAUCAGGAAUGAAGACGGUAUCUCAUUAACCAGUGAGAUUUUCCUUGAACACUACCUCCUCCCCAAAUAAAAUAAAUUGGGCCUAAAAAAAUAAUUAUUAACAGCUGAUCUGAGGUUUCAGGGGGCAGAGAUUGUGAAAAUAAUGAAGUCAUGAGAGGAUUUCCCGUGAAGCGCAUCAGUGCGAGCGGUUCACACUGUCGUUCAUGGUUCGGCAUCACCCUGUGAGGUGUGUUUCAUUCCAAAGAUGAGGCUACCACAAAAAUAGUUUUGGAAUGAUCCAUCUGAAAUCGUUCAGCUUCAACAAUGCCUUUCCUCCGUAACAUGGGAAAGGUGAUUG